This 1038-nucleotide ribosomal RNA is filed under the name Linocarpon cocois. RNAcentral describes it as "partial 28S ribosomal RNA". It matches the Rfam family "Eukaryotic large subunit ribosomal RNA", at positions 24 to 950 of the family's 3401-position model. The record is from RNAcentral. Lineage: Eukaryota; Fungi; Ascomycota; Sordariomycetes; Chaetosphaeriales; Linocarpaceae.
UGUACCGCUGUAGACUAGCAUAUCAUAAGCGGAGGAAAAGAAUCCACAGGGAUGCCCCAGUACGGCGAGUGAAGCGGCACAGCUCAAAUUUGAAAUCUGGCCCCCCCGGGGCCCGAGUGUAAUUUGCAGAGGACGCUUCCGGCACGGCCCAUCCGAGUCCCCUGGAACGGGGCGCCAGAGAGGGUGAGAGCCCCGUACGGCCCGGGCGCCGGCGCCGGUGUGAAGCUCCUUUCGACGAGUCGAGUAGUUUGGGAAUGCUGCUCAAAACGGGAGGUACAUUCCUUCUAAGGCUAAAUACCGGCUGGAGACCGAUAGCGCACAAGUAGAGUGAUCGAAAGAUGAAAAGCACUUUGAAAAGAGGGUUAAACAGCACGUGAAAUUGUUGAAAGGGAAGCGCCCGCGGCCAGACGCGGGCCGGACCGAUCACCCGGCGCUCGCGCCGGUGCACUCGGCCCGGCCCGGGCCAGCAUCGGCUCGCGCGGGGGGACAAAGGCGCCGGGAACGUAGCUCCCCACGGGGAGUGUUAUAGCCCGGCGCGCAAUGCCCCCGCGCGGGCCGAGGUACGCGCUCCGCAAGGAUGCUGGCGUAAUGGCCGCCGGCGACCCGUCUUGAAACACGGACCAAGGAGUCAAGGUUCUGCGCGAGUGUCUGGGUGCCAAACCCGCACGCGCAAUGAAAGUGAACGCUGGUGGGAGCCUCCGGGCGCACCACCGACCGAUCCUGAUGUUCUCGGAUGGAUUUGAGUAGGAGCGCAGUGCCUUGGACCCGAAAGGUGAGCCCCCAACCCCCCCAACCCCCGACCGCACAGCGGACGAAUGUACUAACCGUGGCCCGCAGAUGGUGAACUAUGCUUGGAUAGGGUGAAGCCAGAGGAAACUCUGGUGGAGGCUCGCAGCGGUUCUGACGUGCAAAUCGAUCGUCAAAUCUGAGCAUGGGGGCGAAAGUGAGUCCCCCCCGCGGCAGCCCCCCCCCCCCCCCGCUUGGGCCGUACCGAAUGCUAACCCGCCCGUAGGACUAAUCGAACCAUGAACCUUGUAG